RNAcentral lists this unclassified non-coding RNA (303 nucleotides) under uncultured Ascomycota. RNAcentral describes it as "sequence contains ITS1". The stretch from base 1 to 105 matches the Rfam family "5.8S ribosomal RNA", at positions 50 to 154 of the family's 154-position model. Lineage: Eukaryota; Fungi; Ascomycota. The record is from RNAcentral.
GAAAUGCGAUAAGUAAUGUGAAUUGCAGAAUUCAGUGAAUCAUCGAAUCUUUGAACGCACAUUGCGCCCCGUGGUAUUCCGCGGGGCAUGCCUGUUCGAGCGUCAUUGACACCCCUCAAGCCCCGGCUUGGUAUUGGGCGCCGCGCACCGCCGCGCGCCUCGAAGUCCUCGGCCGAGCCGCCCGCUCCCCGGCGUUGUGACCACACUCGUGUUCGCCGCGGGACCGCGGGCCGGCCCCGGCCGUCAAAACGCACCCCCUUCAGUGUUGACCUCGGAUCAGGUAGGGAUACCCGCUGAACUUAA